AACGAACGCUGGCGGCAUGCCUAACACAUGCAAGUCGAACGAGAGAAGCGGGUCUAGUGGCGCACGGGGGCGUAGCGGGGGGGAACCUGCCCUUAGGUUCGGAAUAACUCGCCGAAAGGGGUGCGAAUACGGGAGAAAAUACUCGGACCGUAGAGAUAUCGCAUUUGGGGGGGCCCGCGUUGGAUUAACUAGUUGGUAGGGUAAAAGCCUACCGAGGCGACGAUCCAUAGCUGGACAGGGAGGAGGAUCAACACCACUGGGACUGGGACACGGCCCGGAAUCCUACGGAGGGAGGAGUGGCUGAUCUUGGCCAGUCGGCGGAGUCCUGAACCUGUACUGCCGCGUGAGUAAUGUAGGCCUUAGGGUUGUAAAGUUCUUUUACCCCUGAUGAUAAUGACAUUACCGUCAGAAUAAGCUCCGGCUAACUCCGUG
Molecule: ribosomal RNA, 432 nt
Filed under: uncultured bacterium
Lineage: Bacteria
Description: partial 16S ribosomal RNA
Rfam family: Bacterial small subunit ribosomal RNA
Source: RNAcentral